This is a ribosomal RNA of 765 nucleotides. It matches the Rfam family "Bacterial small subunit ribosomal RNA", at positions 629 to 1391 of the family's 1533-position model.
GGUACGGGCAGACUAGAGUGCAGUAGGGGAGACUGGAAUUCCUGUGUAGCGGUGGAAUGCGCAGAUAUCAGGAGGAAACACCGAUGGCGAAGGCAGGUCUCUGGGCUGUAACUGACGCUGAGGAGCGAAAGCAUGGGGAGCGAACAGGAUUAGAUACCCUGGUAGUCCAUGCCGUAAACGUUGGGCACUAGGUGUGGGGACCAUUCCACGGUUUCCGCGCCGCAGAUAACGCAUUAAGUGCCCCGCCUGGGGAGUACGGCCGCAAGGCUAAAACUCAAAGGAAUUGACGGGGGCCCGCACAAGCGGCGGAGCAUGCGGAUUAAUUCGAUGCAACGCGAAGAACCUUACCAAGGCUUGACAUGUUCUCGAUCGCCGUAGAGAUACGGUUUCCCCUUUGGGGCGGGUUCACAGGUGGUGCAUGGUUGUCGUCAGCUCGUGUCGUGAGAUGUUGGGUUAAGUCCCGCAACGAGCGCAACCCUCGUUCCAUGUUGCCAGCACGUAGUGGUGGGGACUCAUGGGAGACUGCCGGGGUCAACUCGGAGGAAGGUGAGGACGACGUCAAAUCAUCAUGCCCCUUAUGUCUUGGGCUUCACGCAUGCUACAAUGGCCGGUACAAUGGGUUGCGAUACUGUGAGGUGGAGCUAAUCCCAAAAAGCCGGUCUCAGUUCGGAUUGGGGUCUGCAACUCGACCCCAUGAAGUCGGAGUCGCUAGUAAUCGCAGAUCAGCAACGCUGCGGUGAAUACGUUCCCGGGCCUUCACACACC